Molecule: ribosomal RNA, 1000 nt
Filed under: Janibacter sp.
Lineage: Bacteria; Bacillati; Actinomycetota; Actinomycetes; Micrococcales; Intrasporangiaceae
Description: bacterial SSU rRNA
Rfam family: Bacterial small subunit ribosomal RNA
Source: RNAcentral
GCAGUCGAACGGUGAAGCUCCAGCUUGCUGGAGUGGAUCAGUGGCGAACGGGUGAGUAACACGUGAGCAACCUGCCCCAAACUCUGGAAUAAGCGCUGGAAACGGCGUCUAAUACUGGAUACGAGACCAACCUGCAUGGGUAUGGUUUGGAAAGUUUUUCGGUUUGGGAUGGGCUCGCGGCCUAUCAGCUUGUUGGUGAGGUAAUGGCUCACCAAGGCGACGACGGGUAGCCGGCCUGAGAGGGCGACCGGCCACACUGGGACUGAGACACGGCCCAGACUCCUACGGGAGGCAGCAGUGGGGAAUAUUGCACAAUGGGCGAAAGCCUGAUGCAGCGACGCCGCGUGAGGGAUGACGGCCUUCGGGUUGUAAACCUCUUUCAGCAGGGAAGAAGCGAAAGUGACGGUACCUGCAGAAGAAGCACCGGCUAACUACGUGCCAGCAGCCGCGGUAAUACGUAGGGUGCGAGCGUUGUCCGGAAUUAUUGGGCGUAAAGAGCUUGUAGGCGGUUUGUCGCGUCUGCUGUGAAAAUCCGGGGCUCAACCCCGGACUUGCAGUGGGUACGGGCAGACUAGAGUGUGGUAGGGGAGACUGGAAUUCCUGGUGUAGCGGUGAAAUGCGCAGAUAUCAGGAGGAACACCGAUGGCGAAGGCAGGUCUCUGGGCCACUACUGACGCUGAGAAGCGAAAGCAUGGGGAGCGAACAGGAUUAGAUACCCUGGUAGUCCAUGCCGUAAACGUUGGGAACUAGGUGUGGGUCUCAUUCCACGAGAUCCGUGCCGCAGCUAACGCAUUAAGUUCCCCGCCUGGGGAGUACGGCCGCAAGGCUAAAACUCAAAGGAAUUGACGGGGGCCCGCACAAGCGGCGGAGCAUGCGGAUUAAUUCGAUGCAACGCGAAGAACCUUACCAAGGCUUGACAUAUACCGGAAACUUCCAGAGAUGGUUGCCCCUUUUAGGUCGGUAUACAGGUGGUGCAUGGUUGUCGUCAGCUCGUGUCGUG